UACAUUAUUAUUAUCAGGAAUUUUAGCCGAAACUGUUCAUUUGUAUGUGAGUCCUACUGGAUCUGAUGACCUAAGCAAUAAAGGAUUGUCGCCUGCGAGCCCACUUAAAACCUUACACAGAGCCCGAGACCGACUCGAUGAUUCAGAUAUCAAAGGAAAACAGGUCUUUGUGGAGUUAUUGAAAGGUUACCAUGAUCUUACAACUACGUUAAGUUUCUCCCACGGAUAUACCUCAC
Molecule: long non-coding RNA, 236 nt
Organism: Patella vulgata (common limpet)
Lineage: Eukaryota; Metazoa; Mollusca; Gastropoda; Patellidae
Exons: 3
Source: RefSeq, a predicted model, not a curated record